UUUGUUCCCUGGGAGUGUGUGUGGCGAGGGGGCGCUGAGGAGAACCGAGAUUGCUCCCGAAAAGGGAAGAGAGGAAGAGGAGGGGAGUUGGGGCAGUUAGAGGAAAGGUGGGCCAACGGAAAUGGUUGGAAGUACAGCGACGGAACGCUUCCAUUUCAGUUCCGUUGAACUUCGGUGGAAACUGCAACGGUGAUAGAAGAGUGUUAGACCUAUUGGUGGUUACAGAUAAGGCCGGGACGGCCUAAAAAAGGGAUAAGAGGCUUGUCAGAAGCUCAACGCUUGUGCAGUUCCUCGUUAGUAUAGUGCAAGAGUUUUUAGGAACGCCUGUGAAAUGAGAGGCAACCAAGACAUGCGAAAUGAGAAGCAGAUCACACCAAAACCGGCCGCUAAAGAGAGUUGGCAACAUUAGCAAUGAUCUAUAUUUUUGAAAUUCAGGAAAUUGCAAUUGGUGCAUUAACGCUUUCCUUAAAAGGGCAUAAAGACUUCUCAUUGUUUUCCCCUCUUACUUCACACAGGCCUUUCUUUAAAUAGUCAAUGCAAUUUGCAGAUAUUUAUUAAGUGCACUCUACUACACUAUGCUACCAAGAACAGAGUCAGGGAAGGCGCUGCCUUCCCUUUGGGUAAUUUACACUCUAGUGCCCAGCUAUGCCAAUGACCUAAGAGGGCAUGGUCUUAAGAUGAAGGCGCAAGGAGAACUAUAAAUGAAAUUCUAGGGGGACAAGUUCUGUCAUUUUCGGGAAGCUCAGGAAUAACAUCGUGGGUGAUACAGCAUUUGAGACGGGGCUUGAAGGAUGGGCAGCAUUUUAGUAGGAAAAAUGGUAGCGGCAGGAUUGAGGAUGGGGAAUGUGAAGAGGGCAGCUUUCCAGGUAAACAUAGUAGCAGGAAUCAAGGCAUGAGGCCAGAAGCAGAGAUGUGUUUGGGAAAGAAGAAUUCUGGGGGUUCAGAAUCCUACAAGUUAAUCCAAUGCCUCGCACACUUAAUAAUCUGCCUUUCUUCUUUCCUGGUAUGGUAGAGACCAUUAGUUGUUUCCCAAUAUCUGUAUUUCUCUUCAUCCUUAGUAGUAAAACCCUCGAUAUUUACCUGGACACUUGGCCUCCCAGAAGACUAUAUUUCCCAGCCUUUUUUUCAGUUAUGACCAUGUAACUAAGUUCUGGCCAAUGGAAGGUAAGUGGAAUUACCAAUUAUGACUUCUAGGAAGUGUCCUUAACAGAGACUUUUUAAAAAAAAAAAACUCUCUCUGUUCUCUUAUCUGGAAUGCAGAUUUGAUGGCUGGAGCUCUAACUGCCAUAUUGUAUCAUGAGGUUGGAACCAUGUGCUGAGGAUGGUGGAGCAGCAACAUAGAAGGAGCUAUGAGCUGGAAGUGUGGCUGCCUGUGGGUGAUUUUGCGAGCUGGGCAAAGAGAGGACACCAAGGGGAUGAGAGACUGAAGAGGUGGAGUCGAUGUUGGUCCAGAGGACGAUUAGAAUCAGGGCACAUAUCUGGACGCUGCCUCCCCUUCCUCCAGUCUGGGCUGGAGUCUAGAAGAAUCUCUUUCCCUAACAGAAUGAGGUGUAUGUGACACCCUUCAUGUCCUCCUUCCAACGGAGUGUGGUUCCAGGACUAGCAGCUCGAGUGUCUCCUAAAAGCCUCAUCAGAAAUGCAGAUGUCAGGCCCUGCUGGGCCUGCUGCAUCAGAAUCCGCAUCUUAACAAGAUGCCUUGAGUGAUGGUGUGCGCAGGAAAUUAAACCACUGCCUUGAGGCUCAGAGGAUGCUUCUGGGGUUGGAGGAAACUCAGUUCAAGAGUUAAUCAAACAUGUCAGGACUCCUUCCCUUGGAGUCCACGGCCCUGGACCCUCCAGUCAGUACUCCCUUAAUCCCCUAAUGUCAUCCUGACACAGCACCUGCCACACUGUGCAUCACUGUCAGUCUCCCCUUCUAGAUGGAGCGCCGUUUAGUCCCAGAUGGUCUGUUUUCCCUCCCUGCGCACGUUGUCUGAAUGACCAAUGUGUAAAUGAAUAAAUGAGACUUCACGUGA
Molecule: non-coding RNA, 2014 nt
Organism: Equus caballus (horse)
Lineage: Eukaryota; Metazoa; Chordata; Mammalia; Perissodactyla; Equidae
Source: RefSeq, a predicted model, not a curated record